Molecule: long non-coding RNA, 540 nt
Filed under: Elaeis guineensis (African oil palm)
Lineage: Eukaryota; Viridiplantae; Streptophyta; Magnoliopsida; Arecales; Arecaceae
Description: long non-coding RNA (EGUI_LNC037023)
Source: RNAcentral
CAUAGAGCACGCAAUACAUGAAGAUUAAAUUCGGUUGGCUUGAGGGCAUUACCAGAGGCAGCAAGUUCAUCAGCCAUAGCUUUGGCACGUCGGAGCAGAGAGGUGACGGUCUCAUCUGAUUUUUGACGUAGAUUCUGCAACUCUAGAUACAGAGACAUAAGCCUGGUAAGAGAUGCUGAACCAAAGGCUUCAUGAAGAGUGGUCCAGCACUCAAAACUAGUCUCUUUGUCAAGAAGAAGAGGAACCAAAUCUUCAGAUAAUGAAGCAACAAGAAGGCUUACGAGUUGGGCAUCUUGUUGUUGUCAAGCAGUAGCGGCAAUCGGAUCGGUGGGUUGUGGGUGAGAGCCAUCAAGGAACCCAAACAGGCCUUGACCCUUUAAGAAGGGAGUAAUUUGCUUUCUCCAGAUCAAAAAAUUGGAUGCAUUUAAUUUGAUAGAUAGAAAAUGCUGUGCCGAUGGAAAGGUGAGAGGGAUCGUUGUGUUGGGUGGAGGAUGAGAAGAGGGAUUGGAGGAGGUGGAGAUAGAUGAACUGAUGGCCAUG